CUACGGGCCGCUGCAGUGAGGAAUAUUGCACAAUGGGGGGAACCCUGAUGCAGCAACGCCGCGUGGAGGAUGACGCAUCUCGGUGUGUAAACUCCUUUUAUAUGUCAAGAAAAUGACGGUAGCAUAUGAAUAAGCACCGGCUAACUCCGUGCCAGCAGCCGCGGUAAUACGGAGGGUGCAAGCGUUACUCGGAAUCACUGGGCGUAAAGGACGCGUAGGCGGGUUGGAAAGUCAGGUGUGAAAUCCUACAGCUUAACUGUAGAACUGCACUUGAAACUUCUAAUCUAGAGUAUGGGAGGGGGAGAUGGAAUUAGUGGUGUAGGGGUAAAAUCCGUAGAUAUCACUAGGAAUACCUAAAGCGAAGGCGAUCCCCUGGAACAUUACUGACGCUAAGGCGUGAAAGCGUGGGGAGCAAACAGGAUUAGAUACCCGAGUAGUC
RNAcentral lists this ribosomal RNA (439 nucleotides) under uncultured bacterium. RNAcentral describes it as "partial 16S ribosomal RNA". It matches the Rfam family "Bacterial small subunit ribosomal RNA", at positions 339 to 795 of the family's 1533-position model. The record is from RNAcentral.